GACGAACGCUGGCGGCGUGCUUAACACAUGCAAGUCGAACGGUGAACGAGGGAGCUUGCUCCCUCCGGAUCAGUGGCGAACGGGUGAGUAACACGUGAGCAAUCUGCCCCGAACUCUGGGAUAAGCGUUGGAAACGACGUCUAAUACCGGAUACGACGCGGGAGGGCAUCCUCUCCGCGUGGAAAGAACUUCGGUUCGGGAUGAGCUCGCGGCCUAUCAGCUUGUUGGUGAGGUAACGGCUCACCAAGGCAACGACGGGUAGCCGGCCUGAGAGGGUGACCGGCCACACUGGGACUGAGACACGGCCCAGACUCCUACGGGAGGCAGCAGUGGGGAAUAUUGCACAAUGGGCGCAAGCCUGAUACAGCAACGCCGCGUGAGGGACGACGGCCUUCGGGUUGUAAACCUCUUUUAGCAGGGAAGAAGCGAAAGUGACGGUACCUGCAGAAAAAGCACCGGCUAACUACGUG
RNAcentral lists this ribosomal RNA (470 nucleotides) under uncultured bacterium. Its description in RNAcentral is "partial 16S ribosomal RNA". It matches the Rfam family "Bacterial small subunit ribosomal RNA", at positions 28 to 507 of the family's 1533-position model. The record is from RNAcentral.